RNAcentral lists this long non-coding RNA (220 nucleotides) under Elaeis guineensis (African oil palm). Its description in RNAcentral is "long non-coding RNA (EGUI_LNC038029)". The record is from RNAcentral. Lineage: Eukaryota; Viridiplantae; Streptophyta; Magnoliopsida; Arecales; Arecaceae.
CUAUGCCUCCAGAGAUCUCAUGGACUUCCACCUUUCUGGCAUCUUCAUCUUCGGGGCCAUGAUGCAAAAUGAUGGUGAAAGGUGGUCUAGAGAGUGGACAUGGGUUGGAUUAAACUGAAAUCAAGUAGGAGAGGACGGUCUUUAAGAGAUUUCCCACAAAUUUGAUAGCUAGGAUUUGGAAAACUAGGGAAAACCGAAAAUGAGCCAUGAGAACUAAGGA